This 152-nucleotide unclassified non-coding RNA is filed under the name uncultured Dothideomycetes. RNAcentral describes it as "sequence contains ITS2". Lineage: Eukaryota; Fungi; Ascomycota; Dothideomycetes. The record is from RNAcentral.
UAGCCAUCAAGCUGUGCUUGGUGUUGGGCGUUUGUCCUGCCGUCGUGCGUGGACUCGCCCCAAAACAAUCGGCGGCCCGCGUUUGGCUUGUAGCACAGCAGAAUGGUUGCUGCAAACGCAAAGAGCGUGCCUGCCGCAAAUGCCUCCUUUGG